CCUCCAUUUUCCUUCCCCAUCAGAGCUAAACACUGGUCUGAGUAGGUACAAAAGGAAUAAAAGCAGCAUGGAAACCAAGUUCAAUUCUUUCGUAGUACAUGAGAGAGGUAGUGUUCAAUAGUU
This 123-nucleotide small nucleolar RNA is filed under the name Echinops telfairi (small Madagascar hedgehog). RNAcentral's name for it is "Small nucleolar RNA SNORA61 (ENSETEG00000025251.1)". Lineage: Eukaryota; Metazoa; Chordata; Mammalia; Afrosoricida; Tenrecidae. The record is from RNAcentral.